CGGAGAGUUUGAUCCUGGCUCAGGACGAACGCUGGCGGCAUGCCUAAUACAUGCAAGUCGAACGAACCAUCCUGAAGAUUGAAGCUUGCUUCAUGAUUCAGAUUUUGGUGAGUGGCGGACGGGUGAGUAACACGUGGGUAACCUGCCCAAAAGUGGGGGAUAACAUUUGGAAACAAGUGCUAAUACCGCAUAACAACUACUUUCACAUGAUCGUAGCUUGAAAGAUGGCUCUGCUAUCGCUUUUGGAUGGACCCGCGGCGUAUUAGCUAGUUGGUGAGGUAAUGGCUCACCAAGGCAAUGAUACGUAGCCGACCUGAGAGGGUAAUCGGCCACAUUGGGACUGAGACACGGCCCAAACUCCUACGGGAGGCAGCAGUAGGGAAUCUUCCACAAUGGGCGAAAGCCUGAUGGAGCAAUGCCGCGUGAGUGAAGAAGGUUUUCGGAUCGUAAAACUCUGUUGUUGAAGAAGAACAUAUGUGAGAGUAACUGUUCACGUACUGACGGUAUUCAACCAGAAAGCCACGGCUAACUACGUGCCAGCAGCCGCGGUAAUACGUAGGUGGCAAGCGUUGUCCGGAUUUAUUGGGCGUAAAGAGAAUGUAGGCGGUUUAUUAAGUUUGAAGUGAAAGCCCUCGGCUCAACCGAGGAAGUGCUUCGAAAACUGGUAAACUUGAGUGCAGAAGAGGAAAGUGGAACUCCAUGUGUAGCGGUGGAAUGCGUAGAUAUAUGGAAGAACACCAGUGGCGAAGGCGGCUGUCUGGUCUGUAACUGACGCUGAGGCUCGAAAGUAUGGGUAGCAAACAGGAUUAGAUACCCUGGUAGUCCAUACCGUAAACGAUGAGUGCUAAGUGUUGGAGG
Molecule: ribosomal RNA, 858 nt
Filed under: uncultured bacterium
Lineage: Bacteria
Description: bacterial SSU rRNA
Rfam family: Bacterial small subunit ribosomal RNA
Source: RNAcentral